Molecule: ribosomal RNA, 1503 nt
Filed under: metagenome
Description: bacterial SSU rRNA
Rfam family: Bacterial small subunit ribosomal RNA
Source: RNAcentral
AGAGUUUGAUCCUGGCUCAGAAUGAACGCUGGCGGCGUGCUUAACACAUGCAAGUCGAGCGAAACGCCCCUUCGGGGGUUAGUAAGCGGCGGACGGGUGUGUAAUGCGUGAGAAUCUAUCCUUUUGUGAAGGAUACCCUCAAGAAAUUGAGGUUAAUACUGCAUAAGUCCCUACGGGGAGAAAAGUGACUUUAUGUUGCUGCUGAAGGAUGAGCUCGCGUGCUAUCAGCUAGUUGGUGGGGUAAUUGCCUACCAAGGCUAUGACGGCUAUCCGGCCCGAGAGGGUGUACGGACACAUUGGGACUGAGAUACGGCCCAAACUCCUACGGGAGGCAGCAGUGAGGAAUAUUGCGCAAUGGACGAAAGUCUGACGCAGCGACGCCGCGUGGAGGAUGAAGGUUUUCGGAUUGUAAACUCCUUUCGAGUGGGAAGAAAGACCUGGUUGUAAUAUAGCUGGGGGAUGACGGUACCACUAAAAGAAGCACCGGCUAACUUCGUGCCAGCAGCCGCGGUAAUACGAGGGGUGCAAGCGUUAUUCGGAAUUAUUGGGCGUAAAGGGUGCGUAGGUGGCAUGUUAAGUCUGUUGUUCAAUCUCUCGGCCUAACCGAGAGUUCGCGGCAGAAACUAACAAGCUAGAGUGUGAGAGAGAGAAGUGGAAUUCUUGGAGUAGCGGUUAAAUGCGUAGAUAUCAAGAGGAACACCGAUGGCGAAAGCAGCUUCUUGGCUCACUACUGACACUGAGGCACGAAAGCGUGGGGAGCAAACAGGAUUAGAUACCCUGGUAGUCCACGCCGUAAACGAUGAUCACUAGGCGUUGGUUCAGCAUAGCUGAAUCAGUGUCGUAGCUAACGCGUUAAGUGAUUCGCCUGGGGAUUACGGUCGCAAGACUAAAACUUAAAGGAAUUGACGGGGGUCCGCACAAGCGGUGGAACAUGUGGUUUAAUUCGACACUACGCGAGGAACCUUACCUGGGCUUGACAUACACUUGACCGCUAUGGAAACAUGGCUUUUUAGGCUUCGGUUUAAACAGGUGAACAGGUGCUGCAUGGCUGUCGUCAGCUCGUGUCGUGAGACGUUAGGUUAAGUCCUCUAACGAGCGCAACCCCUGCUGCUAGUUGCAACUGUUCGAAAGAAUAAGGCACUCUAGUGGGACUGCCUGGGAAACCAGGAGGAAGGUGGGGAUGACGUCAAGUCAUCAUGGUCCUUAUGUCCAGGGCUACACACGUGUUACAAUGGUUGGUACAGAGGGGUGCAAUACUGUAAAGUGGAGCAAAUCCCAAAAGCCAAUCUAAGUUCGGAUUGAGGUCUGCAACUCGACCUCAUGAAGUUGAAAUCGCUAGUAAUCGCGCAUCAGCAACGGCGCGGUGAAUACGUUCUCGGACCUUGUACACACCGCCCGUCAAGCCAUGAAAGCUGUUUGUACCCAAAGUUGUCUUAGCUAACCUGUAAAGGAGGCGGGCACCUAAGGUGUGAAUGGUGAUUGGGGCUAAGUCGUAACAAGGUA